GGAUAAUCAAGGGAGGAGGUGGGGGAGACCUGUGUGCUAGAGAGUAUUUUGGCAGUCCAGAGCUUAAUGAAGGUGUGACACAUCUACAAGAAGGGCCAGAAGGACUGGGGAACUGCAGACCUAUUUUUCUGUACUGAGGAAGGUCAUAGAGCAGAUCAUCCUGAGUACCAUCACAUGGCAAGUUCAGGACAACCCAGGAAUGUCAGAGCCAGGCCGGCUUUGGUUUGUGAAAAACAAGCCCUGCCUUGAUCAACCUGAUCCCCUUCUAUGACAAGGUAUCGGCUCAUCUUGACAUCUGGAGAAAAGAAAGAGAGGUAUCAAAAUUAAAUGUAACUAGAAACAGGCAUGAGGAAUGAAGACUUUUUUUUCAGACAGCUGCACUGAAUCCAUUCUCCACCACAUAAAAAACAAUUCAUUUGA
Vidua chalybeata is the source of this 420-nucleotide long non-coding RNA. RefSeq lists it as uncharacterized. The transcript is spliced from 4 exons. The record is from RefSeq and is a predicted model, not a curated record. Lineage: Eukaryota; Metazoa; Chordata; Aves; Passeriformes; Viduidae.